GGCCGAGGAAGCUCAUCAGCGGGCCACGUGCUGAGUGCUGGUCACUCCCAGGCCCUGGGUAAGGACUGAGACUGGCACCUCCCGUGGCCAUAACUGUGCCCUCCAGGAGUGGAGAGGUAAGUUCCCUGAGAGCAGGGCUCCAUGUGUGGGCAGGCUUGGCAGGAGAGGCCCCGAGUGGGCAGAUGCUUCUCUGGCUGGAGCUUGGAACAGACUCAUGGCCAGAGCAGAAUGAGUUCAAUGGGUGAGGUGAGGUACCUCGAAGACCUCAUAACCCAAUUCAGACUACUCUCCCCUAACC
This is a ribozyme of Cricetulus griseus (Chinese hamster), 298 nucleotides long. It matches the Rfam family "Nuclear RNase P". Rfam says of the family: Ribonuclease P (RNase P) is a ubiquitous endoribonuclease, found in archaea, bacteria and eukarya as well as chloroplasts and mitochondria. Its best characterised activity is the generation of mature 5'-ends of tRNAs by cleaving the 5'-leader elements of precursor-tRNAs. Cellular RNase Ps are ribonucleoproteins. Lineage: Eukaryota; Metazoa; Chordata; Mammalia; Rodentia; Cricetidae. The record is from Ensembl.